GUCCACAGGGACCGUCCCGGGUGGGAUCACAAAUAUGCCCGGGGGCCCGGGGAGCAGAGGAGCUAUUACGGAGGCCCUGCUGCACGGGGACGCCAACCUUGGGCUUCCAGCCUCCAGAGUGUGAGAAGGAAAUACCUGUUGCUUACAAGGCCCCGGCCUGCAGCCCAGAAGGACGGACUACUCUGCUCUCCCACAGGUGUGGAGUCCUCCACAGGUGGCUCUGGGGUGUGAGCCCCCACAUGGAACCUCACAGAGCUGAGCACAGCACAUCCUGUGGCUUGAGCGGCAAGUCCCGCCGACACCCGGCUACGUCCAGCACUCCUGGGUGACCUAUGGCAGUGACCGGGCUGCUGAGUUGACAAAGUGCUUGGUCAGCGAGGUAUCAGCUUGCAUUUCUCAAAGUGAGGCCCCCUCACCACCUGCCCCUGGCCCUAGGGUCCCAGUGCCACCUGCUGAGUGUCUCUUGGGCCCACCUCACACCGUGCAGACCAGAGCUGACACCUGCCUGGAGAGGCCAGGGUCGUCUCCAAGCAAUACCUUGUGUCCAGGUGCCGAGCCUCUUGGAGCCUCCAUCCUGGCGCCAGAACACACAGGUGAGACGCGCCAUCUCACGGCCCGCUGCGGUCAGAGCGAAGUGGGACUUCACCUGUCUAUGUAUCACCUGGCCCAAGGUCAAGCAAGGUUACUCUCAACCUUGUCCCUUCUUUCUCGAAGUAGCAAGGGGAAACUUCUGGCAAAAUGGGGCAGGGGGGGGUCCUUUUGUUGUUUUUAUCGGAACCAGUAAUGCGCACGUGUGGUGAAG
This 802-nucleotide long non-coding RNA is filed under the name Vulpes vulpes (red fox). Its description in RNAcentral is "lncRNA (ENSVVUG00000016023.1)". Lineage: Eukaryota; Metazoa; Chordata; Mammalia; Carnivora; Canidae. The record is from RNAcentral.